This 76-nucleotide transfer RNA is filed under the name Caldisericota bacterium. Its description in RNAcentral is "tRNA-Met". It matches the Rfam family "tRNA". From Rfam's summary of the family: Transfer RNA (tRNA) molecules are approximately 80 nucleotides in length. The record is from RNAcentral. Lineage: Bacteria; Pseudomonadati; Caldisericota. RNAcentral also lists the same sequence under 2 other names.
GGCGGCGUAGCCCAGGGGUCAGAGCAUCCGGCUCAUAUCCGGAAUGUCGAAGGUUCGAAUCCUUCCGCCGCCACCA